Salmo salar (Atlantic salmon) is the source of this 54-nucleotide non-coding RNA. The record is from Rfam. NCBI's taxonomy places the organism in Eukaryota, Metazoa, Chordata, Actinopteri, Salmoniformes, Salmonidae.
UGCACUCAUUACUGUAAGUCUCUCUGGAUAAGAGUGUCUGCUAAAUGACUCACU